Molecule: long non-coding RNA, 274 nt
Filed under: Rattus norvegicus (Norway rat)
Lineage: Eukaryota; Metazoa; Chordata; Mammalia; Rodentia; Muridae
Description: long non-coding RNA NONRATT001219
Source: RNAcentral
CAGCAAUCUCGGUGGGGCGUCGAGACCCAGCAGCGGCGGAGUCCGACUGAGGGUGGUUAGAACUUGGUUGCGGGGCCUUGAAGGCCGGGUUAGGCAUCUUCUGUUCGUUAGGAGUUUCCGGGUCGCCGAUACCUCAGAGUCCCGGCUCCCCCUCCCGGGGCGGUUAGGCACAGAAGCCCAGGCCUCAGGCCUCUCCCCUAGGGGCGUGGCCAGAUGCUCUAGCCAAUGAAUGGCCGCCCCUGGGGCCCCGCCCCGCCCCCGCCUCCGGAGCCGC